AGAAUCAACGCUGGCGGCGUGCCUAACACAUGCAAGUCGAACGCGGUUGCCCCGCAAGGGGUGACUGAGUGGCAAACGGGUGAGUAACGCGUGGGUGACCUACCUUCGAGUGGGGGAUAACGUUUCGAAAGGAACGCUAAUACCGCAUGACAUCCUGCCUUUGGACAGGCGGAGAUCAAAGCCGGGGAUCGCAAGACCUGGCGCUUAAAGAGGGGCCCGCGUCCGAUUAGCUAGUUGGUGGGGUAACGCUCACCAAGGCGACGAUCGGUA
This 270-nucleotide ribosomal RNA is filed under the name uncultured soil bacterium. Its description in RNAcentral is "partial 16S ribosomal RNA". It matches the Rfam family "Bacterial small subunit ribosomal RNA", at positions 26 to 285 of the family's 1533-position model. The record is from RNAcentral.